CAACAUUCUCAGAGGGCGGAGCCAGAGAGCAGUGAGUGGUCAGACCAUAGAUAAUAUAGAGGACAGCGCGCUAGCUAGCUAGUCUAUGUAUAUCUAUGGUCGGCACGUCUGGUAGCAUCUUUGGCUGCUGUUGAUCUUGUUUUUGGAGUAAAACACGGUGGAAGUUGAAUUAGUGAGGAUGACUCCUGCUCCUGUCAUCUCUAAGCUCCUCACACAUCUUUACCUGCACAUGAGGAAAAUCACUGCUGUAGAAUGCAGAUGUUCAGAAGGAGAUGAUGCCACAUCUGGUCCAGCUGAUGGAAGGUCUUGAAGUUCUCUGACUGGCCUCAACUGAAGAUGGUCCUCUCUCUGGAUUUAAGGUUCAAAUGUUCAGUAACAAACUCCACCAAUGAGCCAACAGGGAAGCUUUAGGUUUAUUAAAUGUUGCUAUGAAGGUAUCGCUGUUUUUCUUUGUGAAUGCAAUGUGCUCCAACUGAAACUUGAAUUAGAACUUAGAAGUAAAUCCUUCCAUCUGAAAGGAUUUAGUUGCAUUAAUAACCUCAUAACAUUCUAAUUUUUAUUCCAGUCUUGGUUGGAAAUAGAAUCUCUGUAUUGAUUCAGGUAAAAACUGAACUUCACAGCAUGUUGGAGCAAAACAACCAGAUGAAAACUGUGAUGGUGUUGGAUUGUCAGACUGUAAUGUUGCAGCUCAAAGCAGCUUUUCUAGCUCAGUUCAUUCUGACAUUCAGCUAUGAAUCAACACAGCAGAUGGUGAUCCAUGCUGUGGAAGUCUCACAUCUCCUGAUUUAAUGGAACUGCUUUGCACUUUUUACACUGUUUAUUCACCAACACUUUAUUUUAUAAAAGUCCCAUCUAGCUUUUAUGAGGAAUGUGUUGUUUUAAUUUCUCUGUGAAUAACUGCAGUCUAAUGUAACAGCUGGAGUUGUAACAUCUGUCCUGAUAUUGAUCAUGAAGUAUUGAUCAGAAUACUUAUGGUUAGCAGUCAUCCCUGAAGUUUACAUGAAAAUCUUUACUUGUGUUGUGAACUUUGGUAAGAAGCAGAAACGUUAGCGUUGCCAUGGAUACAUGAGUGUUAAAUUCUGUCCAUGUUUCCAUUUUGGGAAAUGCAGUCCAGUUCCAGAAUGUGGAGGAAUUUAGUCUCACAAUCACAGACAACAAAUAUUAUCUGAAAGUCGGGUUAUUGUUGUUUAUCAGCACAAUACAAAAAGAUUAAUGUUAGAAAUAUUCCAGUUAAUACUCUAGAAUAGCAGGAUUUAUGUAAAUUUACCUCAAUAAUAUGAAUGUUCAGGUUAAGAUUGUACAGUGAUAUUUAUUAUGUAAGUUUAACUGAUUAAAGUUUGACUCUGCACUACAAUAUUAUUUAAAUUGACAUCAUUAUUAUAAUAUUUAGGGUCAGACCCUACAGUAUUGAGAUUAAGAAAUCAAAUAUUCUUUAAAAUGUAAAUACACUGAACUCAUUUGGAUAUAUUUAAGUGAGACUCUACAAUAUUAUUUGACACAAAUCUAUCUAAAUCAAAGUUUUAAUCAUUUUUACUCCAAACAUUGGCUGAACUGAUUUAAAUAUUAAAAUCACUCCUUUCUUAUCCUCUGCUGUACGUUCAAACCUGAGGCCUUAAAUAGAAACACACAAGUAUCUGAUUGAAGGAACUUCUGCAGAGUCCUGGUUCCAGAACAUGAUGAUAGAAUUAUAGACAAACUUUAACAAAAGCUGCCUGAGAGUUUACAGGUUUUUAUGUUAGAUUUCUUCAGUAAUUUAAUGAGAAUUAUCAGCAAAAAUCAAGUGUUCAUUUGAUGAACUUCAUUUCCUAAAACAUCCAGAAUUGGAGCUCAUACCUUUUAGAGCUGUAAAGUUUCUGCUCCUUCAAAGUUCACAACACAAUGAAUGAAUUCCUAAAACACUCUCAAUGUUGGAGAGCGUUUGUGAUGCUGAAGCAGUGACCAGUUUUUCUGUUUCUUCUCUGGAGAUGCACAAUGAGGGACGUCUGCAGCGACUGAGAAAGAGUCUCACCACAUCCUGACAUGAGGAAAAAGACUUUAUUGAAGACUGCAAUGAGAAAAACUAUCAGACAGCAGACGGCUGCAUUCAAGGCUACAGGAGGAGCCCUACGAGGACGAGCCGGUCCACCUGAUGGAGGCCAGUCGCUGCGGUUCAAAGCCAACACCGACUACGUGGACUUCUACCACGCGGAGGCCUUCAAACCGGACCAACAAGUUCAGCGAGUCCCCGACUCGUGGGUCUGAGGACGCCGCCGAGCCUCGGUCCAGCCGGCCACCUGUCUGUGGGUGUUUGAGUGCUGAGAGGUUUGUGGAUGCAUGUGAACGUUCUGUGUUGAAACAGCAGCUUUGGACUCAGUAACGCUGGGAAAAACCAAGAGCUCCUUUAUUUGUGACUUCCACUAAAAAAACUGAUGAAAAUAAG
Amphiprion ocellaris (clown anemonefish) is the source of this 2419-nucleotide long non-coding RNA. The record is from Ensembl. NCBI's taxonomy places the organism in Eukaryota, Metazoa, Chordata, Actinopteri, Pomacentridae.